RNAcentral lists this ribosomal RNA (773 nucleotides) under uncultured Neocallimastigales. RNAcentral describes it as "partial large subunit ribosomal RNA". It matches the Rfam family "Eukaryotic large subunit ribosomal RNA", at positions 24 to 616 of the family's 3401-position model. The record is from RNAcentral. Lineage: Eukaryota; Fungi; Neocallimastigomycota; Neocallimastigomycetes; Neocallimastigales.
UACGACUACAUAUCAGGCAUAUCAAUAAGCGGAGGAAAAGAAACUAACAAGGAUUCCCUUAGUAACGGCGAGUGAAGCGGGAAGAGCUCAAAUUUGAAAUCUUCAAGGUUUUACCUUGACGAAUUGUAGUUUAAAGAAGUGUUUUCUGUUGAAGUUUUGGUAAAAGUUCUUUGGAAUAGGACAUCAUAGAGGGUGAGAAUCCCGUAUUUGACCAUUAUUUUCAGCUGUGUGAUACACUUUCAAAGAGUCGGAUUGUUUGGGAAUGCAGUCCAAAAUGGGUGGUAAAUUUCAUCUAAAGCUAAAUAUUGGCGAGAGACCGAUAGCGAACAAGUACCGUGAGGGAAAGAUGAAAAGAACUUUGAAAAGAGAGUUAAACAGUACGUGAAAUUGUCAAAAGGGAAGCGUUUGACACCAGUGUUGUUUUCUCGAAAAUCAAUUAAAAAAAGUUGGAUUUUGUGUUGUAUUGACCUUAACAGCUUGCUUCACUCUUUUCCAGCUUUUUUUAAUGCACUUUUCGUUUAACAAGUCAACAUCAGUUUCUUUUGUUGUAAAAGGGUCAUUGGAAGGUGGCUUUCUUUCGGAGAAAGUGUUUAUAGCCUUUGCUCUCUGCAAUCGGAGAGAUUGAGGUCUGCAGCGUAGAUCCUUCGGGGUUAGAUACAUUUGUGCUAAGCUACAGCUUUUCAUAGACAACUUGUUGACUAUGUUUAGUCUUGUGACUUACCCGCUUAUGCUAUUUUACCUACGCUUAGGAUGUUGAGCGCAUGUCUCUCUCU